Long non-coding RNA from Ipomoea nil (Japanese morning glory), 119 nucleotides. RefSeq lists it as uncharacterized. The record is from RefSeq and is a predicted model, not a curated record. NCBI's taxonomy places the organism in Eukaryota, Viridiplantae, Streptophyta, Magnoliopsida, Solanales, Convolvulaceae. The transcript has 3 exons.
AAACACAGUCUAAACUUUUGGCAAAGUUUCAUAUAUUAUUGUGUUUCUAAGGCCGAGUCAACAACAUCUACACCAAUUUUCCACCUCAUCACCUCACUACUACAAUGGCUGGUAGGGAA